AACGAACGCUGGCGGCAUGCCUAACACAUGCAAGUCGAACGAGACCUUCGGGUCUAGUGGCGCACGGGUGCGUAACGCGUGGGAACCUGCCCUUAGGUUCGGAAUAACUCCCCGAAAGGGGUGCUAAUACCGGAUAAUGUCUUCGGACCAAAGAUUUAUCGCCUUUGGAUGGGCCCGCGUUGGAUUAGCUAGUUGGUAGGGUAAAAGCCUACCAAGGCGACGAUCCAUAGCUGGUCUGAGAGGAUGAUCAGCCACACUGGGACUGAGACACGGCCCAGACUCCUACGGGGGGCAGCAGGGGGGAAUAUUGGACAAGGGGCGAAAGCCUGAUCCAGCAAUGCCGGGUGGGGGAUGAGGGCCUUGGGGUUUUAAAGCUCUUUUACCCGGGAUGAUAAUGACAGUACCGGGAGAAUAAGCCCCGGCUAACCCCG
RNAcentral lists this ribosomal RNA (431 nucleotides) under uncultured bacterium. RNAcentral describes it as "partial 16S ribosomal RNA". It matches the Rfam family "Bacterial small subunit ribosomal RNA", at positions 29 to 505 of the family's 1533-position model. The record is from RNAcentral.